RNAcentral lists this long non-coding RNA (2323 nucleotides) under Sus scrofa (pig). RNAcentral's name for it is "lncRNA (ENSSSCG00055030706.1)". The record is from RNAcentral. Lineage: Eukaryota; Metazoa; Chordata; Mammalia; Artiodactyla; Suidae.
UUCCCAGUCUAGGGGUUGAAUCAGAGCUGUAGCUGCUGACCUACACCACAGCCACAGCAACGCCAGAUCCAAGCUGAGUCUUCCACCUACACCACAGCUCAUGGCAACUCCGAAUCUUUAACCCCUGAGAUGGGCCAGAGAUAGAGCCUUACGGAUACUAGUUGGAUUCAUUUCUGCUGAGCCAUGGUGCAGGAACUCCCCAUUCAAAUUUAAACAUAUAUUUACAAGCAAGUGGGAUAUAAGAUACAACUCUGUGUACAAAAUAAUAUUCACAAUAAUUUGGAGCGUGAUAAUAUUAGUGUGUUUAAUAAUUUUCAGUGCGAUAACAUUAGUGUGUUUUUCCUUCAUGAAUGAUUUUCUUCAGUGUUCCACCAAGGAUGUCUGUCCCUACACAUAUGAGUUACCUCAUGCUUGGAGGUAAGGGGAACACAGAGGAACCUGAAAACCAAAAGGGCAUAUUCUUUUUUUUUUUUUCUUUCUUUUUGUAGCCAGACCUGUAACAUAUGGAAGUUCCCAGGAGGCUAGGGGUCCACUCAGAUCUGCAGCUGCCAGUCUAUGCCACAGCCACAACAACAACAGACCUGAGCCUCAUCUUGGGUUCUUCCUGCCACUAGACUGGACUAAAGACUCAGGUUGGGAGAAGAGAAGAGGAGGGACCCCAUGACAGAAACAGAGAUGGAACAACCCCGGACAUCUGCCUGGAGCAGGUGCUAUCAAUCACCAGCUAAGUGGAAACCUGGCUCCCUCACUGCCAUCUGCUGAUAGUGACCAAUCAAUAGCAACUUCCACAUCACCCAGGAGUUGCCCAGGAGAGGAGGUGUUCAUUUCAUCUCUGUCCCAAGAGUUUUCCCAGCUCCUCAUCCAACCCACUCCAUGUCAGAAACGGUCCAGAGCACUUGAAGGGCCACACACACACACACACAUACCCCCCACACACACACACAUACACACCUGUACUAAGUAGAAAAUAGUGUCCUGCAGACACAAGGGUAGUGUAGGGGUUAUCCCCACACAUGUUUGAGGUGAGACUAGAUAGAACCAGUAUAAAAUUUCCCACCAAGCUAGCACUGGGGCACAUGGGACACUCAUAAACACACACACAGAUAUUCACCUCCAUGCCUACCCCUUAUAUUUAUACCCCUUGGACUUCAUAUAGAGCUUCACAAACUACAUUAAUAAACCAAAGGCAAGUUUUUAGAGAGAAAAAAACUCACCUUCUUCAAAAAUACAAUAGAAUAUUUACUCUGAAGAACUGACUUAGAAUAAUAUCAAGGUCUCAUCUGAAGUAGUUAUUAUAAUAAAAAUUCUGAGUACAUCCUCCUUAUUUAUCAAAUGUUUGGCACACUUUAUUGAGAUCAAGGAGCACUUCUGGAGCCAGAGGAUGCCGGGCACAGAAGGGCUAAACACUGACACCCACUGACUUGGUGGGGGAGGGGGUGUUGGAUGGUGUUAGACAAUGCCCGAGCAUCAGUGUUUCUGCCCAACAAGGGAUCUGCUUUCUAUUUAUUCAUACUCCAAUCCUUCUGGCAAGAGGCAAGCAGGAUUAAACCCAUUUCACAUCUCUGCAGCAAGAGCUGAGCACAAUAAUGACUGACCAAAGCCUGGACCAUAAAGAUGAGGUAAAGGCAGAGGGGGCAAAAUCCUGCAAGUAUAUGAACAGCCCAAGUCCUAAGGGAGUAGGGAAAAUGAAGUGAGCUGCACAGCCACGCACGUUGGAGAAAUCAAACAUCACUCUUUCACUUGACCAUUAAUUCCUAGGCACGCUCAUGCUUCAGGAAUACUGCACUGUGGGAACAGAAGUCACACCAUCAGCAGCUGUUGCCCUCAUAGAGGUUAGUAUCAAGUACAAACGAAACAGUCAGCAAAGCAAUUACAAUACUGUGGAAUAUAUGCUGGUGGGCAGGGCAGGCCUCCCUGGAGCGCCCUGUUAUGGAAACACCCUGGAGAUAGACAGGACAUAGUGCAGGGUGGAGAGUGGCAGGUAAGGACACUUACCUUCAGAAGUAACUUCUAAGCUGACGCCUAAAGGAUAAGUAAGUGUUUUGCAAGUAAAGGCGAUUUGAUGAGUGAAUCAGGCAAUUGGAACACUCAGAGCUUCGACACUAGAGGACCAAGAGGAAGAGCAAAUCUGUGGACAUAUAUGGUUAUGUCCCACAAUUUUGUGGGUUUGAUGUUGAUGCCUUUGUUGCUGUUGUUCAUUACGGCCCACGAUGAAGGUUUCACAUGAAAAUUCAGAUUUCUGACUUCUCUUGAAAUUCCCUCUAGUAACAGUUGGCUAGAACUGAGCAUGAUUGCUCCUUUAAACUGGGCCUGAUUUGCCCCA